This 773-nucleotide transfer RNA is filed under the name Phaeobacter inhibens. Its description in RNAcentral is "partial 16S-23S ribosomal RNA intergenic spacer". The stretch from base 283 to 356 matches the Rfam family "tRNA". The record is from RNAcentral. Lineage: Bacteria; Pseudomonadati; Pseudomonadota; Alphaproteobacteria; Rhodobacterales; Roseobacteraceae.
UUCUAAGGAUGACCCUAGCUUUUGACUGGGUUACCAAAGCGCUCAAGUAGCGAAGCGGUAGCGCAUCAAACAUGGAUCACUUAGCAUAAGAUCAGUAAUCAAAACUGAUCACAUCCGGACCAGGCCGUCCUCAUAUCUCUUCAGAACUGUCAUGAUCUUGCCUUGAGGCAGGAUCUAGCAAGGGGCCUUAGCUCAGCUGGGAGAGCGCCUGAUUUGCAUUCAGGAGGUCAGGAGUUCGAUCCUCCUAGGCUCCACCACUCAUGCGAACGGCCCACAUAGAAUGGGUCGGUAGCUCAGGUGGUUAGAGCGCACGCCUGAUAAGCGUGAGGUCGGAGGUUCAAGUCCUCCUCGACCCACCAUUCUGCAAGAGACGAUUUGAUCGUUAAGCAUCCUGAGAUGUUUAACCGUCCAAUCGGACCGGAUCGAUGUUCCUUCGGGAAGGUUGAUCACAUUGACAUCGUUUAGAGAGAUACAAUCAACAACACUGUUGGUCACCCGCGUAAGGGAUCGACCUCAGUUUGGUGCUGAGAACGGCUUCUGUCGUUUGAUGCGAGCCUUUGCAUUCCGCCCUUUUCCUCGGGCGCGCGAGGGUCUGCCGGAUUGAAACCACAGUGUUGUCCAAGUCAAGUACACUAACCCGGUUCAUAUUCCGCAAGGUUUAUGAACCAAUGUUCACUUCUAUGAAGUGAGCGGGAAAGUAUGCUUUUGGUUCAGAAUAAGGCCACAGUUUCUUACCAGCUUCUGUGGCGUGACAGUUCACUGUCUUUUUCUGG